AUUGAACGCUGGCGGCAGGCCUAACACAUGCAAGUCGAGCGGAGCGGCGGACGGGUGAGUAAUGCAUAGGAAUCUGCCUGGUAGUGGGGGAUAACGACCGGAAACGGGCGCUAAUACCGCAUACUAUCGGAGAAGCCUAGGUCGGAUUAGCUAGUUGGUGGGGUAAAGGCCUACCAAGGCGACGAUCCGUAACUGGUCUGAGAGGAUGAGCAGGCACACUGGAACUGAGACACGGUCCAUACUCCUACGGGAGGCAGCAGUGGGGAAUAUUGGACAAUGGGGGAAAGCCUGAUCCAGCCAUGCCGCGUGUUUGAUGAAGGUCUUCGGAUUGUAAAGCACCUUAAGUUGGGAGGCGUUACCAACAGAAUAAGCACCGGCUAACUUCGUGCCAGCAGCCGCGGUAAUUC
This 407-nucleotide ribosomal RNA is filed under the name uncultured bacterium. Its description in RNAcentral is "partial 16S ribosomal RNA". It matches the Rfam family "Bacterial small subunit ribosomal RNA", at positions 30 to 526 of the family's 1533-position model. The record is from RNAcentral.